This 81-nucleotide small nuclear RNA is filed under the name Neogale vison (American mink). RNAcentral describes it as "Neovison vison (American mink) U4 spliceosomal RNA (ENSNVIG00000008702.1)". It matches the Rfam family "U4 spliceosomal RNA". From Rfam's summary of the family: U4 small nuclear RNA (U4 snRNA) is a component of the major U2-dependent spliceosome. The record is from RNAcentral. Lineage: Eukaryota; Metazoa; Chordata; Mammalia; Carnivora; Mustelidae.
AGCUUUGUGCAGUGGCAGUAUCAUAGCCAAUGAGGUUUAUCCCAGGCCCGAUUAUUUCUAAUCGAAGAUUGGUUGAUAAGA